UCAAGAUUCAAAUGUUCAGAUAAAUUCAAUUUUUAGAGGGAAACUAUGAAGCACACACAUAUUUCAUUUCAAAAGAGAAGCCAUUUGUCAUUACAAAAUCAUCCAAAUCAUAUUAUAAUACCAAUUACCAAAUUACAUCAUUUUUGCCGAGAGUUGACUUUUGGCUAACUGUUGGCUUUUUGGUCCAAAUAGUUGACCAAAGUCAACCACUACUCCUAAACACUAGUCCCAUUUUUCUUCAGUUACAAGUCUUCCUAUAUGUUUUUGUUGCCCCAAAGCAUCCAAGUUGCUCCAUGAAGGAACCUUGAGUCAUGAACAUUGUCAUGACCAUACUAGCCCCUUGACCAAUGCCAAGUCAUGACCAUACUAGCCCUGCAAAAUCACAUACACAAUGAGAAAAGGCGAAGACCUUAUGCUUCAUACACAAGCCACUGCAUCAAACAUAUGGAAAAAAGACCAACUUUCAUGUUGGUAAUCGGUUAACCAAAAGUUGUUAACCGGUUACAUCCACGUUUCACAUCCACUCAGCAUACCAGAAAAUCAACCCUUCGUGUUAGUAACCGGUUAACCCAAGACGGCUAAUCGGUUACACCUGCACAUGACCAGUCAGUCCUUUACAAUUCAUAACAUUACCAGCAAACAAACUUUAAUUCACAUACAAAUUCUAACAAGUCCGAUUCCUUAACAACAAACUCUUAACUAUUUUCCUAUCAAGCUAUAACUAACAGGGAACCAUUUUUCAUUCAACAUAACUCUAUUAUCACUAACUACUACUAAUAGUUUUCAUCAACAAUCUUAUAUGGCUAAUUCAAACAAUUUCAUGAUUCACUAACUUAACAUAUAACCAUCUAAUAACUAACUUCAAUUCCCUAACUGUCAGUUUCAUAACUAACACGCAUUUUUCUCAUUAAACUAACUCCAUUAGAAACAAUCAUCAUUUUCCUAACACUUCCACCAUUAACAACAGCAUCAAGAUUUCCACGAUUCACUACAACAGCAGCUUAAGGUGUUCUGGGCAAAUAAAAUACAAGAAAUUGGCCAAACAACAUCAUUAUCACCACUAUACAUUAACAUUUUAACACUCACUUACUAACUAAUCUUUUACUCCUAACAGUGCAAACAGCCACUAACUAAUUCUCAUCAUAGUAACUAACUAUAACACUACACUAAUUGCUACAACAGUUGUUUUAAAUUCAAAUAAAGUAUAACUAAUCCAUUUCAUAACUAACCUAACUAACUUUUAAAAAAUUUAACUAACUUCUAAAUAAUUUAACUAACCUCCAAAUCAACUUAUUAACAUAAUUGUUAUCAUUUCAAAUUUCCUAACAGAUUCUAACAAAUCCCAAUUAACCAACUAUUUCACUUAACUAACCUAAUGCAUACACAACUAAAUCUAUCCAAUUUUUUCACAAGUGACUUAAGGAGUACACUAAUUAAAUGCUAACAACUAACACUUAAAUGAAACUAAUAUAACUUUAACUCUAUUAAAUUCCUAAAAACUUUCCUCUUCAGUCAAUUAACAGUUAACCCUGCCCUAGCACAUAACUACCAAUGUCUGAAUUUCUGACCAAAAUACUUGUAAGAUUUCUCUAUAAAUCAGUUCAUCUCUUCAACAAUCAAAAGGGAUGAUUCUCUCUCAAUCACUCUCAAUUCUCUCUAAUUCUCACUCCAUUAGUUUCUUCCACUACUCUCAAUCCAUUCUUUCUAAAGCUCUCUCUAUACGCAAUACCACACGCGUGUAGAGCAACGACCAUAGCAUAACCUACAUACUAGGAAUUUUGGAGAAGAAAAGAAGAGGAUCAUUGCAACAAUUAAGAAGUAGAUAUUCGAAGGAUUACCUGUUGUGUCUCUGGUAUUUUAUUAAUCCAUUUGCAUCGGCCUUAAGAUUCAAUGAAGUAUCCGCUUUGUAGAUCAGUUUCUCCCUUGAAAUUCAUCAUUUUAGUUCAUAGUUUAUUGCCCCAAUGUAGACUGAUAGCGUAGGGACCAAACCCCUAAGGUUUGGAUUCCUCUUGGAGUUCCCUUCGCGUUUAAUUUCAGAUUUCAUUUUUAGGGUUCAUAGAAUUGUUUGUUCAAUUUGGAAUAUUGGGUAGGAAUUAAGGAAAACAUGUUGUAGAUUGUGAGAGAGGGAAUCAAGACGAGCAGAUUGGUGUGUGUUUGGGAGAAUUUGGACCUACACCGCCGCUUGAAGUGAUUUUUGGUGCGGCGAGGUUUUGAUCUCCAAUGAAGUGGAAGGAACAAGGUUCAUGGACGUGAAUUGAAUGAGAAAUUUGAAAUGAGCUUUCUAAUCCCUGCACCUUCACUUGGCUUCACGUUUUGGGAUCAAAGCCCUUAGCCCAUCAUAUCUUCUGGCUACACCCCAUGUCAAUCCUCACACCCCCUCCUGGAUAACCUUGCAACAAUUCUUUGGGCUUUCUGUUUAUCCCACGCUGCAUUUGCUAUGUACACACCAUUUACACAUUACACCCUCUGCCUCUAGUUUUUCUCUUUUUCAUUUGUUUUGUUUUGUUUUUUAUGUUGUUUUGUCACUUUUUCUAUGCAUUUAAUUUGAUUUUAGCUCAUUUUAAUUAUUUUUGAUACAUUUUAUUUUAAUAUAAAA
RNAcentral lists this long non-coding RNA (2596 nucleotides) under Lathyrus oleraceus (garden pea). RNAcentral's name for it is "Pisum sativum (pea) long non-coding RNA (PSAT_LNC034513)". The record is from RNAcentral. Lineage: Eukaryota; Viridiplantae; Streptophyta; Magnoliopsida; Fabales; Fabaceae.